RNAcentral lists this ribosomal RNA (996 nucleotides) under uncultured bacterium. Its description in RNAcentral is "bacterial SSU rRNA". It matches the Rfam family "Bacterial small subunit ribosomal RNA", at positions 8 to 996 of the family's 1533-position model. The record is from RNAcentral.
AGAGUUUGAUCAUGGCUCAGAUUGAACGCUGGCGGCACGCCUAACACAUGCAAGUCGAGCGGUAACAUGAUGUGUAGCAAUACACAUUGAUGACGAGCGGCGGACGGGUGAGUAAUACGUAGGAACCUGCCCUUAAGCGGGGGACAACCAAGGGAAACUUUGGCUAAUACCGCAUAAACUCGGAAGAGAAAAGCUGCCCGCGAGGGUGGCACUUAAGGAGGGGCCUGCGUCCGAUUAGUUAGUUGGUGAGGUAAAGGCUCACCAAGACGAUGAUCGGUAACUGGUCUGAGAGGACGACCAGUCACACUGGGACUGAGACACGGCCCAGACUCCUACGGGAGGCAGCAGUGGGGAAUCUUGGACAAUGGGGGCAACCCUGAUCCAGCGAUGCCGCGUGAGUGAAGAAGGCCUUCGGGUCGUAAAGCUCUUUAGGUUGGGAAGAAGUAUAUCCGAUGAAUAAUCGGGUAUGUUGACGGUACCGACAGAAUAAGCACCGGCAAACUCUGUGCCAGCAGCCGCGGUAAUACAGAGGGUGCGAGCGUUAAUCGGAUUUACUGGGCGUAAAGGGCGCGUAGGCGGUUAUGUAAGUAUGAUGUGAAAGCCCCGGGCUUAACCUGGGAAGAGCAUCGUAGACUAUGUGACUGGAGUAUAUGAGAGGGUGGUGGAAUUUCCGGUGUAGCGGUGAAAUGCGUAGAGAUCGGAAGGAACGUCAAUGGCGAAGGCAGCCACCUGGCAUAAUACUGACGCUGAGGCGCGAAAGCGUGGGGAGCGAACAGGAUUAGAUACCCUGGGUAGUCCACGCUGUAAACGAUGAGGACUAAAGGUUGGUAGGGGAACCUAUCAGUCUUGAAGCAAACGCGAUAAGUCUUCCGCCUGGGAAGUACGGCCGCAAGGUUGAAACUCAAUGAAUUGACGGGGGCCCGCACAAGCGGUGGAGCAUGUGGUUUAAUUCGAUGCAACGCGAAGAACCUUACCUACCCUUGACAUCCUGCGAAU